UACGGAGGUCCCAAGCGUUGUUCGGAUUCACUGGGCGUAAAGGGUGCGUAGGUGGUGAGGUAAGUCGGAUGUGAAAGCUCGGAGCUCAACUCCGAAAUGGCAUUGGAAACUACCUUGCUCGAGGGUUGGAGGGGGGACUGGAAUACUUGGUGUAGCAGUGAAAUGCGUAGAUAUCAAGUGGAACACCAGUGGCGAAGGCGAGUCCCUGGACAACUCCUGACACUGAGGCACGAAAGCUAGGGGAGCAAACAGG
Molecule: ribosomal RNA, 253 nt
Filed under: uncultured bacterium
Lineage: Bacteria
Description: partial 16S ribosomal RNA
Rfam family: Bacterial small subunit ribosomal RNA
Source: RNAcentral